Molecule: long non-coding RNA, 2369 nt
Filed under: Homo sapiens (human)
Lineage: Eukaryota; Metazoa; Chordata; Mammalia; Primates; Hominidae
Description: HSALNT0169037
Source: RNAcentral
CUAUUGGAAUGUUAUUCUGUUCUCACAAGGCUUGCCAGACCCCUGCCUCCCAUCUUGAUGUCUAAUAGGUCAAUCUUUCAAGAACACUUGUGGGGAGACCUGUGUCCUGGUCUGGAUCAGAGAUGUGAUGUAUUAACUUUCAGAGUCCUCCUUCACCCCGGCCUAUGUUUUACGGCUAGUGAGGGAAGUCUUUCCUGCCAGGAGAUGUUCAUUGAAGUGCAGACUGCUCGGAGCCACACCGCAGGCUGGCAGAGGAAGUGUCUCGGUGUUGCCUUGGCCCGUUCACCCCCUGCCAGGCCAGUAGAGGAGCUGAAGAGUCUUCGCCAUGGUUUGAGAAAAAGCUUAUAGAGGCCUGAGGCUGGAGGCAGGGGGAUCAGUGAGGAGGCUGCAGCAUCAGUCCAGCAUCUCCAAGCCUCUCUCCAAGUUCGCUCCAGGGCUUGCGAGAAACAAAGUGCUCUCCCUCAGCCCCAGCUCCUCGCACACCCAGUGGAAAGAAAACACUUGCUGUAAUUGGAAAGCCCCGAGAAGGUUGAGAGCACUUUUGUUUUCUUCAUCUCUGCGUCCUUAUUUCUUGGAACACUACCUGGCAAACCAUGGGUGCACCAUGCAGCAAGUUAAGGUCGCCGAAGUAGAAUUGCGUAUUAAGCCAGUGUCUCCAUCCAGACUUUUUUUUAGCAAGCAUACCUUAGGAAACUGAACUUCGCUUGAAACUGAAACUACCCUCCCAAAAUCAUCUCCAAGGGUUAUUUACAGACUAAAUGAGACAGUGUAUAUCUAACAUUGCUUUGUGGAUGCUAUCAAGUGCUGGCAAAUGUGUGGGAGAAUGAAUGGAAAACUUCAUCAAUUUCUAGGAUAGUAAAUUGGUGCUGCUAUUUUGGAGAGCAAUUUGUCAGCCUUCAGGGGAAACUGAAUAUGCACAUCCUCUAAGACCCAGCAGUUUCACUUCAAAGAAAAUUUCUUAUAUGCACAGAGACUUGUACAAGGAUAUUUAUCACAGCACUGUUUGUAAUAACAAAGGGCUGGAAAUAAACCAAAUGGCCAAUGAUAAGAAUUGAUAAAUGUGGUAAAUGCCUAAAAUAGAAUGUCACACAGCAGUUAAAAAAUCAUUUAUUCACUAAUUAAGCAAAGGACAAAAAGCCUCAACAGAAAAAAAAAGACAAAAGCCUUGAAUAGUCACUUUGCCAAAUGUUCAAUACACGUACAAAAACAUGGGCAAGUUCAUUGGUUGUCAAGGAAGUUCGAAUUAAAGCCACAUUUUGCAGGUACAACACUGGCACAAGUUUAAGUCUGAUGAUACCAAGUCUUGGAGAAGGUUGAAGCUACUGGAAAACCUGCCCUCUGCUGGUGGGAGUGCAAAUUGCUCCAAGCUCUUUGGACAAUAAUUUGGCAUCCUCUAGUGAAGUUGAAGAUGUGUGUGCUUGAGACUCAGCAAUUCCCCUUUGUGACAUCAGGAUGCUCCCGCACAUAUGCUUAAGAACAUUCAUGCCAGCUUUGUUUAUAUAACAAAAACGUGGAAAUAACCCAAAUGUCUGAGGAUGGGGAAUGGACAAAUAAUGGUUCAUAGUUAUGAAAAUGAAUACACAACAGCUACAAGCAUCUACUGGAAUGAAUCUCACAUGCAUUGUGUUGUAGAAGAAUAUGUAUAAUUCCAUUUAUGUAAAGUUUAAAAGCAUGCACAACUAAAUGAUAUGUUAUUUAUGAGUAUAUGACAUAUAUGAUAAAGGCAAAGAAUAAAUAAAGUAAGGAAAGGUAAGACAAUAAGAGUUUGUGAUACUGGUUACCUAUUAUGGGGAAGGAUGUUGGGGACAGGUGGGACACCUUGGGGAUUAUCUGAUACUGGCAAUCUGACAGGUGGUAGGUCACCAGGUGUUCUUAUUAACUUCAAUACUCUAUAUAUCCUAACACUGGUAAAUCUCAAGUAUGUAAUACUGAAUGAAAAAAAAUCAAAAGUCAAAUAGUACAGUCCUAUUUGUGAAGAAAAACUAACCCACGUGAAUAAAGUAUUGUUAGGGAUGCCUCUCUAUGUAAAUAAAGCCGUACAGGGCAGCUACAUGUUAAAUUCGUUGGCGUGUGCACAUACAGUGGAAUGAUAAUGGGAUUAGGGACUGAGUGAAGGGGAGGGCAGUACAUAACAUUUCAAAAUGGUAAACAUGAAAAUGGGGCUGUUUGUGAACUCCUGAUGCUUGUGUGCCAUGAACUGACUUGAGGUGGUUAAAUUAAGCAAUUCGCUCUCUUUCCAUGCAUGUGAUAUCCCAAAGGGAAAGAAAGGUUGCUUUGCAAAUUAGAAUAAUCAAAAUCAAGUAUGAACCAUUAAACAUGUUUUGCUUGCUGGUAGAUUAAGGAUCACACUGGAUAUACAGUAGAAAAUA